This 400-nucleotide ribosomal RNA is filed under the name uncultured bacterium. Its description in RNAcentral is "bacterial SSU rRNA". It matches the Rfam family "Bacterial small subunit ribosomal RNA", at positions 355 to 772 of the family's 1533-position model. The record is from RNAcentral.
UGGGGAAUAUUGGGCAAUGGACGAAAGUCUGACCCAGCAACGCCGCGUGGAGGAUGAAGCAUUUCGGUGUGUAAACUCCUUUUAACGAGGAAGAUAAUGACGGUACUCGUUGAAUAAGCACCGGCUAACUCCGUGCCAGCAGCCGCGGUAAUACGGAGGGUGCAAGCGUUACUCGGAAUCACUGGGCGUAAAGGGUGUGUAGGCGGAUUAGUAAGUCUUGUGUGAAAUCCUACGGCUUAACCGUAGAACUGCAUGGGAAACUGCUAAACUAGAGUGUGAAAGAGGCAGGUGGAAUUAGUGGUGUAGGGGUAAAAUCCGUAGAUAUCACUAGGAAUACCGAUGGCGAAGGCGACCUGCUAGAGCAUAACUGACGCUGAGACACGAAAGCGUGGGGAGCAAA